Dermochelys coriacea (leatherback sea turtle) is the source of this 1388-nucleotide long non-coding RNA. RefSeq lists it as uncharacterized. Lineage: Eukaryota; Metazoa; Chordata; Testudines; Dermochelyidae. The transcript has 2 exons. The record is from RefSeq and is a predicted model, not a curated record.
AAACAUGGACAUCUAUGAGCAGAUUGCAGAGGGGAGGCAGGCGAAGGGGUAUGACGGGGUCAGCAGCAGUGCCAUGUGAAAGCAAAGGAACUGUAGCAGGCUUACCAGGAGCAGUAGCGUAGCUAGGGGGGAGCGGCCGCUCCCCCACUGAGCACAAGUGGUGCCUUGUCAAUGUCUUGGCGCCUUUUAAAUUUUCCCCUGUUGAGGGAACAGGGGGAGCGAUCCAAAAAAAAGGUGCCAACCGCUGCGGUGCUUUUACUCACCCGGCUCACUCCGGGUCUUCGGCGGCACCUCGGCGGUGGGACCUUAAGUGCGGCCGGAGAGACCCGGCGUGAGUGAGGGCCAGCCAUCGGAGUGCCGCCGGGUGAGUAAAAGUGCCGUAGCGGUUGGCACCUUUUUUUGGAUCGCUCCCCCGGUUCGCUCUGCUGGCUACGCAGCUGACCAGGAGGUCAGGGAAGCCAACAGUCGAUCUGGUGCUGAGCCACAGAGCUCCUGGUUUUCUGACGAGUUGCAUGCCAUACUUGGUGCAGACCCCACCAACACCCUGCAGAGCGCCUUGGAUUCCUCUGAGGAGCCUGAGAUGCAGACCCCUGCUGUGAACAGCGAGGAGGAGGAAGAGGAUGGGGGAACAUGUGACCAGGAGCUCCAGCUAUGCUGUGAGCCAGGAUCAGUUUGAGACUCCACCACAGUCUAUUAGUCCCAGCGGGUGAGCCCGAUGCAAAGAAAGGAACCUUGGCUGCUGCCAUUGUGGCCUUGGGGGGGGGGGUGCCAUCUCCACAGCCAUGGAAUGCCUGACCAUGACAAGGAGGAGAAAGAAGAGGACUUGGGAGAUGUUCAGUAAGAUCCUGCAAGCAAGUGCUGCAUCAGACCGUGAGCGCAUGGCACAGAGGAUGAAUGUUAUAGUCACUAUGGAGAAAGAGAAAGAAAGUUGACGGGAGAAAGCCCCGGAAGGAAAAAGAGAGGGAGAUGCACCUGGACAUGAUAGGGCUUCUUCAGCAGUAAACACAGAUGCUGCAGACUCUUGUUGACCAGCAGGUGGUUCAGAAAGCAGGGGCUCACUUCUCUUUGCAGUCAAUGGAAAACUCAAUUGUAGCAUCUCCUUUACCCGCCCCUCCUACCCCCUUCCCGAAAUUUCUUCAUGACAUCAAGGGCUGCAUCCCUUCCAUGCCACACCAGCAGACCAUAAGGACAGCUUCACAUACACUGACCUGUGAGAGCCCUGGGUGCUAUAUGUGUCGCCAAAAUGGUCUGAAAUGGACAUGAAUGUUCUUUCCUCUUGUUAAAUUCUAUCCUGUUAAUUUGUUUCAAAAGUUUUUUAUUUGCUUUUAAUUACACAGAUGUUUUUUGCAUUGGUUUUGUUAUUCAAUAAAAUUCUAUUUUUUGAAAAA